RNAcentral lists this ribosomal RNA (1533 nucleotides) under Lytechinus variegatus (green sea urchin). Its description in RNAcentral is "16S ribosomal RNA". It matches the Rfam family "Bacterial large subunit ribosomal RNA", at positions 189 to 2769 of the family's 2925-position model. Lineage: Eukaryota; Metazoa; Echinodermata; Echinoidea; Temnopleuroida; Toxopneustidae. The record is from RNAcentral.
AGAAGUUUUAUCUCUAGGUUUCUACAGAAUAUAAAAUAUAAACAAAUUUAAAGACAAAAACACUUUCUUAGAUUAGUAAAUUUAUUUGAAAACAAAACGAACCCAAAACAAAAAGUACCGAAAGGGAAAGAUGAAAUAAUAUUAACUUAUAAACCCCAAAAAGGAAAGAUUACUCCUUUUACCUUGUGUAUAAUGGAUUAACGAGAAAACAAGAAAAAUUUUUCUUUGCCCGAAACUGGACGAGCUAAUCUUGCCUUCCUCACAGGAGGGAUAAACUCACUGUUGCAAUAGUGGGAAAAAAGGUUAGAUUAGAUGUGAAAUGCUAACCGCGCCCAGAGAUAGCUGGUUUCCCAAAAAAUUAGUUUGAGCUAAGCCUCUAUUUUAAAAUAUGUCUCCUUUAACACUAUAAAUAGACAGCAUAAAAUUUAAAAGAUGAAGGUCAGAGCUUCAAGGAUAAGCUUGAAGCUCAAAAUGGAAAACUCCAACUACGAUAGUUAAAGUCAACCACCUGAAGAAAUAGAAAACAACAAAGUAAUAGGCUUAGAAGCAGCCACUUAAUAAGAAAGCGUUAAAGCUCAGUUGUUAAUAAUUUCUAAAAAAUUAUUGAGUAUUUACCCUGACACUUCGAAAUUUUAUUGGGACAUUCUAUAGCUAGAAAAGACAAUGUUAAUAUUAGUAAGCACCUAGCUCACCUGAGUUUUAUCCGUUUAUAACCAUGGAAGAAAAAACACUGCAACAAAUAAACAUGUUUUAAUCAACGUCUUCCAACCCAGGAGAACUAAAACAAUUAAACUGAGAAAAAGGAACUCGGCAAACAAUAGUUUCGCCUGUUUACCAAAAACAUCGCUCCUUGACCCUAAAACAUAAGGAGUCCUGCCUGCCCAGUGACUAGAGGUUAAACGGCCGCGGUAUCUUGACCGUGCGAAGGUAGCAUAAUCACUUGUCUCCUAAAUAGAGACUAGUAUGAAUGGCAAGACGGAACAAGACUGUCUCUUUCUCAAGACCCCGAAUUUCACUUCCCCGUGAAGAGGCGAGGAUAAAAUCGCUAGACGAGAAGACCCUGUCGAGCUUAAGCAAAACCCAAGUCCAUAAUUUAUUUGACCUAGUCUAAUUUAUAACCAUAUCUAGUGACAAAUUCUUAUUCUUCUUGGAAGAGCUUUGGUUGGGGCAACCGCGGAGUAAAAUAACCCUCCGCUUAUAAGGUAUGAUAAAAAGAGAAACAACUCUAAAACCAGAAUGAAACUAGUGAUCCACUAAGGUGAUCAAAGGAACAAGUUACCGCAGGGAUAACAGCGUCAUCUUUUCUGAGAGUUCACAUUGACGAAAAGGUUUGCGACCUCGAUGUUGGAUCGGGACAUCCUAAGGGUGCAGAAGCUUUUAAGGGUUGGUCUGUUCGACCAUUAAAGUCCUACGUGAUCUGAGUUCAGACCGGCGAAAGCCAGGUCAGUUUCUAUCUACGAUGAUAUCUCUCUUAGUACGAAAGGACCAGAGAGAAAGUGUCUAUGCCUAAGGGUAAGCACUAACAUUAAAAAC